CCUUCGAUAGCUCAGUUGGUAGAGCGGUGGACUGUAGUCGUUGUUUGUAAGAGGAAUCCAUAGGUCGCUGGUUCGAAUCCGGCUCGAAGGA
This 91-nucleotide transfer RNA is filed under the name Acromyrmex echinatior (Panamanian leafcutter ant). It matches the Rfam family "tRNA". Rfam says of the family: Transfer RNA (tRNA) molecules are approximately 80 nucleotides in length. RNAcentral also lists the same sequence under 2 other names. The record is from Rfam by way of RNAcentral. Lineage: Eukaryota; Metazoa; Arthropoda; Insecta; Hymenoptera; Formicidae.